UACGAAGGGGGCUAGCGUUGCUCGGAAUUACUGGGCGUAAAGGGCGCGUAGGCGGAUAGUUUAGUCAGAUGUGAAAGCCCCGGGCUUAACCUGGGAAUUGCAUUUGAUACUCUGGAGCUUGAGUACGGGAGAGGAGAGUGGAAUUCCCAGUGUAGAGGUGAAAUUCGUAGAUAUUGGGAAGAACACCGGUGGCGAAGGCGGCUCUCUGGACCGUAACUGACGCUGAGGCGCGAAAGCGUGGGGAGCAAACAGG
Molecule: ribosomal RNA, 253 nt
Filed under: uncultured bacterium
Lineage: Bacteria
Description: partial 16S ribosomal RNA
Rfam family: Bacterial small subunit ribosomal RNA
Source: RNAcentral